This 253-nucleotide ribosomal RNA is filed under the name uncultured bacterium. RNAcentral's name for it is "partial 16S ribosomal RNA". It matches the Rfam family "Bacterial small subunit ribosomal RNA", at positions 524 to 776 of the family's 1533-position model. The record is from RNAcentral.
UACAGAGGUCUCAAGCGUUGUUCGGAUUCAUUGGGCGUAAAGGGUGCGUAGGCGGCGCGGUAAGUCGGGUGUGAAAUCUUGGAGCUUAACUCCGAAACUGCAUUCGAUACUGCCGUGCUUGAGGACUGGAGAGGAGACUGGAAUUUACGGUGUAGCGGUGAGAUGCGUAGAUAUCGUAAGGAAGACCAGUGGCGAAGGCGGGUCUCUGGACAGUUCCUGACGCUGAGGCACGAAGGCCAGGGGAGCAAACGGG